This 1762-nucleotide unclassified non-coding RNA is filed under the name Hevea brasiliensis (rubber tree). The record is from RNAcentral. Lineage: Eukaryota; Viridiplantae; Streptophyta; Magnoliopsida; Malpighiales; Euphorbiaceae.
CUAUAACAGUUCAUCCUCUUAACUAUUCUCUAGACUUCUUCCUUCUGUACUUUUUCCUCACAUAUGUAACAAUCUUUAGCACCUUCUUGCCCCAAGAAGGGUGCAAAAUCUGGAAAUUGGGACAUGAUGAAUGAGGCAUCCUCCCAUGUUGCUGAAUAGUGAAGCCAUUUGAUGAGAACUUGUGAGACUGGUAGACUGUUCCUGGAGAUAACGCUUGACUGCAAUAGUUUUUCAGGGGCUACCUGCCGUAGUUCUUCUUGCAACACUAGAAGCUCUAUGUUAGGGUUUAUGAAAGCCUAAGAGAAAGAAAUAGGAAAAUAGAGGUAAGAAUAGAAAGAAGAGAGAAUAGAAGAGAGAUAGUGUAUUGUUGCUAAUUCUUGGAAUGAAUUACAACAAGGUUACAGUUGAAGUAUUUAUAAACAAUAACUGCCUUGUAACUACUUCAGCUGACUAUUCUAGCUAACACAACAGAAUUAGUUACGCUUCCUGCUAAUUACUAACUCCUCAACUCUUCUAGAAUUCCUAAUCACAUCUUAUUCUUAUAUUUCCUCCUAUAAUAUGUAACAAUACCCCCUCCUCUGGUAUUUUCUUGUCCCCAAGGAAGUGGAACUUCAGGGAACUGGCCUUCAGUAAAGCACUAUCAUCCCAGGUGGCGUCUUUUGCCGACAGAUUAAGCCAUUUUAUAAGCCCUUGUUCCACAUGCUGGUCCCCUCUCAUGACAACUCUAGUCUACAAUACCUGUUCAGGAACCACUUGAAUGCGAUCAUCUUCCAUAAUAGGCCAAUCAGUAGCAACAAGAACACCAUCUCCGACCUUCUUCUCAAGCAUAGACAGAUGAAAAAACAGGAUGAAUAGCAGAUAUUGGAGGCAAAUCCAGGUGAUAAGUCACCUUCCCAACUCUUGCCAAAAUUCUGUUUGGCCCAUAAAACUUGGCAGGCAGCUCAAGGACUUGUCUUACAUCAAUUUGAGUUUGCCUGUAUAGCUGGAGCUUCAAAUAAACCCAAUCCCCAACACCAAACUCCCUCCCAGUCCUCCUUUUGUCAGCCUGCUGAGUCAUUCUGUGCUAGGCCACUUGUCAAUUCUCUUUCAAUAGAUGAUUAAGCUGCUGCCUCUCUUUUAAUAACUUCCUUAGAGCCCCUACUGAUGAAUCAAGUUUCUUCUUCAUGAAAUGUGGGAGGAGCAUACCCAUACAAUGCAUCAAAUGGAGUCAUUUGAAUAGCAUCGUGAGAAGAUGAAUUGCACCACCAUUUUGCUGUAGGCAACCAAGACCUCUAAUUAGGGGGCUUUAAAUGGACCAUGCACAUCAAAUAAUUGUCCACACAUUGAUUAACUCUUUCAGUCUACCCAUCGGAUUUAGGAUGAUAGGCAGAACUAAAAUUGAGUUUAACUUCCAUGCUCUUAAAAAAUUCCUGCCAAAAUGAGCUAGUAACACUUUGUCCCUAUCAGAAACAAUCACUUGAGGAGGACCAUGCAAUCUAAAAAUGUCAUCCAUGAAAAGUUGAGCAACAGAAAUAGCAGAAAAUGGGUGUGCCAGUGGAAGAAAAUGGGCAAACCUGAAUCUACACACAACCACCAAAAUAGUAUAAUGCCCCUUUGACUUAGGCAGGCCUUCAAUAAAAUCUAUAGACACCUGCUGCCAUGCUUGAGUAGGAAUAGGUGGAGGCUGUAACAACCCUGGAUACGCACAAUGUUCCCUCUUACAUAUAGCACAAGUCUCACAAGUACUAACUCAAUGUGUUACAUCACUAAACGUUCUAGGCCA